This 492-nucleotide ribosomal RNA is filed under the name uncultured bacterium. Its description in RNAcentral is "bacterial SSU rRNA". It matches the Rfam family "Bacterial small subunit ribosomal RNA", at positions 29 to 500 of the family's 1533-position model. The record is from RNAcentral.
AAUCAACGCUGGCGGCGUGCCUAACACAUGCAAGUCGAACGCGAAAGGGGGCUUCGGCCCUGAGUAGAGUGGCGAACGGGUGAGUAACACGUGGGUGAUCUACCUUUGAGUGGGGGAUAACGUUCCGAAAGGAGCGCUAAUACCGCAUGACGUUCCGGGUUUGAAGACCUGGAAACCAAAGCCGGGGACCGCAAGGCCUGGCGCUCGGAGAGGAGCCCGCGUCCGAUUAGCUAGUUGGCGGGGUAACGGCCCACCAAGGCGACGAUCGGUAGCCGGCCUGAGAGGGCGGACGGCCACACUGGGACUGAGACACGGCCCAGACCCCUACGGGAGGCAGCAGUGGGGAAUUGUUCGCAAUGGCGCAAGCCUGACGACGCAACGCCGCGUGGAGGAUGAAGGUCUUCGGAUCGUAAACUCCUGUUGACGGGGAAGAAUGGCUCCCUUUUUAAUACAUUGGGGAAUGACGGUACCCGUUGAGGAAGCCACGGCUAA